CUUUCCCUUUAACUUUUCAGUCCAGAAGCCACUGGGAUUCCUGGAGUGUUUUCGGAGCAGUGAGUACCACAGACUUUAGCAAGCACACUGGAUGAGAAUCCAACAGUGACCUUGCUUGAGGAAGAUGAACAACGCUUCAGACAGCAUGUCAAAUAGAUUCAAGUUUUAAGAAAUCAGGAAGAAACCAUCUUGGAAAACAAAUAUUGUGAGCAAAUUGACCACAAAGCAUGUUAACUUCCAGUACUGGAAACUAGAACAAGACUGUAAAAUAAACAGGAAGGACUUAAAGUUUAUGAAAUAGAAAAAGAUAAUAUAAACGAUCAAUAUAACUAAAAGCUAGUCUUCAAAAGGACAGAGCCACAUUUCUGAGAAAGCUUCCUGACUGGAAUAAUAAAUUGUGCUUGAAAAACAUAGAAACAGAGGAGAGGGCAAGGUUACUGCUGAAAUGGAAAACUAAGUGACACAUGGCUUGAAAACUCUCAGAAUCACUGGCAUUCCCUGGUCAAGUUGAGUGGAACAAAUCACUCCCCAAACAAAAUGAAGUUUUGACUCUAUAGAGCCAAUGGAUGUGGACCCUGGACUUAGAAAGAGAUUUGUAAACAAACCAGAGAACACCGAAGAGCUGCUCCUUCGCACUGAAAUGGUUUGCUGGCUUUCUGCCUAGAUCCGACAUCUCUUCAAAUGGACAGUCCCAACUCUCCUUCUCUCACUUCUCUUCCCCCUUCUCUGUAAGUCACAAAUGCUGCAUUUGGAGGAACUUCAUUUUAACUAGGAUAAACAUCACAUAAUAAAUGAUGCAUUUUUUCUCAUAAAGCAAACCAUUUAUCAAUGUUUUUAGUAAUUGUUUGUGUUGGAGCCCUUGGUGGAAGUCUUAUGAUCUAUAGUGUCCAUUGAGGCUUCCAUUUAAAGGGGGGCAGAGACAAUGCCAAAGUUGAUACAAGGGAUGAUGGGGAGAUAAGCUCUCGAGGCCUAUAUAUUAUCCGCCCGCAGUGUUGGGAGGGCCACAGGAAGGAUGGUGAUUAUUCUAUUUGGCAAGCCAAUUGUCUGUCUUUGGAAAAUGAUAGGAUGAAGAGUGGAGUCAAAAAUAAUACCUUUCUCGAUGCCCAGAUAUAAAUGAGCUAUUUACAAUCCCUCCUGCCUUUUAGGUUUGGGUUUUAUUUUUCCUCUGCACAAUAGAUUAAACCUUCAAGGAGGUUUGUAGUAAAAGAGGAGGAAACUAUGAAAAACACCACAUACUUGCAGACACCUGCAAGCA
RNAcentral lists this long non-coding RNA (1255 nucleotides) under Homo sapiens (human). Its description in RNAcentral is "HSALNT0165488". Lineage: Eukaryota; Metazoa; Chordata; Mammalia; Primates; Hominidae. The record is from RNAcentral.